Molecule: long non-coding RNA, 1289 nt
Organism: Epinephelus lanceolatus (giant grouper)
Lineage: Eukaryota; Metazoa; Chordata; Actinopteri; Perciformes; Serranidae
Source: RefSeq, a predicted model, not a curated record
CACAGAAAGGAAUUGGCAGUAACACCAGAAGAGCCAGGCACCAGCUACUGGUCGACAGAGCAAUCGCCCAAGACUGCAAGAGCGGGAAGACCAACCUGUGCACUGCCUGGAUUGACUACAAGAAAGCCUACGACUUAAUGCCACACACAUGGAUACUGGAAUGUCUGGAACUAUACAAGAUCAACAGAUCACUAACUGCCUUCUUAAAGAACUCCAUGGGAAUGUGGAAGAUGACCCUAGAGGCCAAUUCAAGGCUGUUUGCCCAAGUCAACAUCAAAUGCGGCAUAUACCAAGGGGAUGCACUGUCACAACUGCUGUUCUGCAUAGGCACGAAUCCCCUCAGUCAGAUCAACACGAGUGGCUAUGUGUGAGGGCUGACAUGUAGGGUGUCUGUAGGUAGGGUCAGAGAGUUUCCUGCCUUUAUAAGGACAGGUGUGGGCAAUUAGUACCUCUUUGUCUGAAUCUGGUAGAUGUGUAGUAGGAUUGCCUGGUUUGGGUAGGUAAGGGAGAUCCUGGGAGAAACAUUGUUUGUAUUGUUUGAGUUGAAAUCUAAUAUUUAUUCUCAUAUUUAGGUGUAGUAGAGCUGUGUCCUGACUGAUCUUGGCUGAUGUAUGCUCUGUAACCCCAUGUUGAAGAGGUGACCAUAUAUAACUGCAAUUGUUUGGUUGUCUGUAGGCCUAUCAUUAAUAAUAUAAUAAUUUAAUCCUUUAGGGAAUUCAGCCCUUGUCUCCUCCUUGUAGAAGCCAGAGUAGUCAGCCUGCUGAUGUUCCCAGUGUCUCUUUUAAUCAGGGCCUCAGAGUGAGCAAGGUAACCUAAACUGGUGGGGUAAUGUAGGAGGGUCAGUCCCUCCAAAUUAUUUUUGCCAGUUGAAACGAUUUAGACCAUGUCUCCCUUAUUGCAGACUAAGUGCCAGACUGCUGCUUUGCCUGAACCAGUCCAUCUACAUCGUCUAGCCUAACUCGGCUACCAUAUUGAAUUGGAUUCAACCUUAGCUUUACUGUGAACUGUCCAGGAUUUGUGUCCAGGCAGAAUCUCCCCGUGGUCUCCAGCAAUAAAUAUCUUAUUAUUAAAUAAACAUUUUAAUGGUGAACUGAAUGCACGUGUCCUGCUCUCCUUGAACCUAUGAAGUUGUAUUGUGUCAACACGUAUGAAGUUGGGCCCUUUAAUGACCCUUAGGUUUAUAUAGACAUUGCAUUGGUCUUAAAUACUGUGUCUGACCACAUAUGGAUACCAAUUCCGAAGUGGAGUAACAAUCAGCCACCUGCUCUACAUGGAUGACAUCAAGCUGU